Molecule: ribosomal RNA, 253 nt
Filed under: uncultured bacterium
Lineage: Bacteria
Description: partial 16S ribosomal RNA
Rfam family: Bacterial small subunit ribosomal RNA
Source: RNAcentral
UACGUAGGGUGCAAGCGUUGUCCGGAAUUAUUGGGCGUAAAGGGCUCGUAGGCGGUCCAUCACGUCGGGAGUGAAAAGCUGGGGCUUAACCCCAGUCCUGCUUCCGAUACGGGUGGACUAGAGGUAGGCAGGGGAGAACGGAAUUCCUGGUGUAGCGGUGAAAUGCGCAGAUAUCAGGAGGAACACCAAUUGCGAAGGCAGCUCGCUGGGACGUUACUGACGCUGAGACGCGAAAGCGUGGGGAGCAAACAGG